RNAcentral lists this ribosomal RNA (645 nucleotides) under Cryptococcus sp. CBS 7944. RNAcentral's name for it is "eukaryotic LSU rRNA". The stretch from base 200 to 353 matches the Rfam family "5.8S ribosomal RNA". Lineage: Eukaryota; Fungi; Basidiomycota; Tremellomycetes; Tremellales; Cryptococcaceae. The record is from RNAcentral.
UCCGUAGGUGAACCUGCGGAAGGAUCAUUAGUGAAUUAAACAUGCUUGGUGUCUUCGCUUCGGCAAGGCCCUUGCUUAAAUCACAUCCUAACACCUGUGAACUGUAAGACGUAUGAUGAGGUCUUUGGGCCAAGUCAUCGUCUGCCCAUUUUUAACAAACAAUUAAUGUAACAAACGUAGUCUUAUUAUAACCUAAUAAAACUUUCAACAACGGAUCUCUUGGCUCUCGCAUCGAUGAAGAACGCAGCGAAAUGCGAUAAGUAAUGUGAAUUGCAGAAUUCAGUGAAUCAUCGAAUCUUUGAACGCACCUUGCGCUCUUUGGUAUUCCGAAGAGCAUGCCUGUUUGAGUGUCAUGAAAAUAUCAACCUUGACUUGGGUUUUGUGCUCUAGUCUUGGCUUGGAAUUGGGUGCUUGCCGCUUUUACGACCGGCUCACCUUAAAUGUAUUAGCUGGAUCUGUCUUUGAGACUUGGUUUGACUUGGCGUAAUAAGUAUUUCGCUAAGGACAUUCUUCGGAGUGGCCUCGUUUCUAGGACGCUUGUCCGCUUUCCAAUACAAGUUCCACCUCGUGACAUGACUUUUUAUUAUCUGGCCUCAAAUCAGGUAGGACUACCCGCUGAACUUAAGCAUAUCAAUAAGCGGAGGA